RNAcentral lists this transfer RNA (69 nucleotides) under Fukomys damarensis (Damara mole-rat). It matches the Rfam family "tRNA". Rfam says of the family: Transfer RNA (tRNA) molecules are approximately 80 nucleotides in length. The record is from Rfam by way of RNAcentral. Lineage: Eukaryota; Metazoa; Chordata; Mammalia; Rodentia; Bathyergidae.
GGCAAUGUAGCUCAGUGGUGGAGCCCUUGCCUAGCAUGCAGGAGGCCCUGGGUUCAAUCCCCAGUACCA